AGCUUGUAUAAGAGCUGUCAGUGUAAUGAUUGGCUGUCAUGUUCUGUAGCUGCAGCUGAAACUUCUUUUCCAUUCGCACUCAGACUGCACUUUCCCUCCAAUUCUGGAGUAUGAUUGAGAGUAACCAAAUGACGCUGCAGUUUGCCUUACGUGUUUUUUUCGCGCAAGUCGAUUUUAGAGUCAGUCAGGUAUUGUGUGAGCGGAAGAGAAGGUUCGAAUAAAGAUUAUUGGGCAGCAUUUGGAGCCUAGAUUCAUGGCUAUGAAUGAUGAUCCUGUGGAAAAGGUGACUGAAGUAUAAUAAGUUAAACGGAAAGAAAAUUAAUGGCCAUAAGUAUUGCAGUACAAGCAGGGCUUGUAUCAUCAAAAUGUUCUAACAGUUUCGAUUUUUUCAAUGUGACGGAUCUCUGGAAGAUUCCUGCUGCUAGAACAGGGAUAGCUUUUAGAGAGGGGGAGGGGGGUCAUGGUCAAGGAACUAUUUAUAGUGUGGACAAGAGUGGUAUUCUGAGAGAUUUAAGUGUGCAUGGGUCAGCUCUAAUCGCAUGAGCUAACGUCAACACAUGAUAAGAGCAGUUUUUUCACUGUUGUAUAUACAUCAGUUGAUUGAGGUAAACCUGUUGCCAAGGAGAAAUGAGCAAUUCUCGUCAUCAUCAACACUUAAAGAAGGAAUAAAUAUAAGGUCACGAAGUAGAAUUUGAGUGAAGUACCUAUUCUUAGUAUCUAAAUAGAUUGUUGCCUGGCAUUUCGAUGGCGGAAGUGGGAAACUUCAUACCUCCGCAUUGACAUGUUUGAACUUUCCACUUGUAAUUUGUUUUUUCAAAGAGAAACAAGACAACCUUAUGUUAAAGAUACGGAAACUCUUGAAUUUAUCAGGAAUGAGAAUUGUCGUACUGAAUUAUGUCCUCUUAUUUCUCAACAGGGAUACUGGAGGGCUCUUGGUGCACUAGAAACAUCAGAGGCCAUGGCCAAACUGGAGCCAAAGGCUCCAUUGUUCCAGAUAUCAAUCCUGCUCUCGGAACAUAUUCCCAGCAGCGCGAUUUUGGAUUUCUUUGCAACCUCGUCGACGCACCCGACCACAAGACCGCCCCCUCCGCCUCCUCAAGAAGAACGUCCGGUGGCUGCGCCACAGCCACAGCAAGGUGGAGCACGGCAACAAUAUUACAGCGGGUCGAUUGUUGAAUC
Molecule: long non-coding RNA, 1179 nt
Filed under: Bemisia tabaci
Lineage: Eukaryota; Metazoa; Arthropoda; Insecta; Hemiptera; Aleyrodidae
Description: lncRNA ENSASIAIIG000836
Source: RNAcentral